This 76-nucleotide transfer RNA is filed under the name bacterium. RNAcentral describes it as "tRNA-Thr". It matches the Rfam family "tRNA". From Rfam's summary of the family: Transfer RNA (tRNA) molecules are approximately 80 nucleotides in length. Their secondary structure includes four short double-helical elements and three loops (D, anti-codon, and T loops). RNAcentral also lists the same sequence under 3 other names. The record is from RNAcentral.
GCCGAAAUAGCUCAAUUGGUAGAGCAACUGACUUGUAAUCAGUAGGUUACGGGUUCAAGUCCUGUUUUCGGCACCA